CCGACGCUCGCGGGAAUAGCGACCUCGCUCAGCGGCCAACUCCUUAUCCCUAUCGUGCUUCUCCUUUCUAGCCGCUUCAAGCCCAGCCUCUUUUAUCUUGAUCGUCUCUUCCGCUUCCUUAAGGUCCAACGUCAUCUUCUGCAAAGCUUUUUCGUACUCCAUCACGAGAGCAUUCUUCCGAGCAGCAGCCUAAACCAAGAGAAAGCCAACAAAAAGAAAAGGAUCAAUAGAUGAUAAGAAGAUCGUCACCCAAAGGAACAAGAUAAGUAAGCAAUCAAACACAAUCCCAC
RNAcentral lists this long non-coding RNA (290 nucleotides) under Brassica napus (rape). RNAcentral's name for it is "long non-coding RNA (BNAP_LNC006317)". Lineage: Eukaryota; Viridiplantae; Streptophyta; Magnoliopsida; Brassicales; Brassicaceae. The record is from RNAcentral.